CUCCAUUCUCAAAGUCUUCAUCUCUCUAAACCUUCAGACAAACGACAUCAAAUCUGAUCACAUGGCUGGAGGUAAUUCUAUUUCCGCUGUGUUUAAUUCAUCUGAUAUAUCAUGAGGUUUUUAGUUUCUUAUUGAUAUACCAUAUAGUUUUAUCACAUUUGGUAUCAGAGCCAUGCUUCCAUGCCUGUGUUCGAUUUAAUUUUUGAUGGGUUUGAGGGAUGAGUUUUUGAGAUCUUCUUCAUGAAAUAGGUAUUUCAGAAUAGAGUGCACAGUCACAGAGUUGUGUUUUGUUUCUCCUUGAAACUUUUGAUAUGAGAGACACCAUUUUUAAACAGAGUUUCAGUAUAUACUAUAGACAUUCAAUAGGCUCCAUAAGAGGUCAAACUACCAUAAGCAUUUAUAUGACCCUUGUUAUCGGAAAUCAAGAUGAAGAGUCUGGUUCAGUUUUUUAAAUUUAUGAGUCUUCCCA
RNAcentral lists this long non-coding RNA (469 nucleotides) under Phoenix dactylifera (date palm). Its description in RNAcentral is "long non-coding RNA (PDAC_LNC016761)". Lineage: Eukaryota; Viridiplantae; Streptophyta; Magnoliopsida; Arecales; Arecaceae. The record is from RNAcentral.